Eucalyptus grandis is the source of this 208-nucleotide long non-coding RNA. RefSeq lists it as uncharacterized. The record is from RefSeq and is a predicted model, not a curated record. The transcript has 2 exons. NCBI's taxonomy places the organism in Eukaryota, Viridiplantae, Streptophyta, Magnoliopsida, Myrtales, Myrtaceae.
AGUGUGCAUUGUCCAUGAUGCGAUAUUAACCUUCUCUUAUUGGAUUCCUUUGAUAUAGUUCGUCGAAGAAGAAAAGGACCAGGAUAUAUGUUAUGAUGAUGAAGAAGAUAGUGCUGGAAGGGAUGAAACAAUCAUGAGUGAUGUUGACUCUUUGCAUCUGCUGGAUCAGCCAGGGCACAUUGUAGAAGGAAAUGAGGAGGAAAUAAAA